GGAGGAACGCAUGGGAUCGCAAGACCUUGCGCUCAUUGAGCGGCCGAUGCCUGAUUAGCUAGUUGGUGAGGUAAAGGCUUACCAAGGCGACGAUCAGUAGCUGGUCUGAGAGGACGACCAGCCACACUGGGACUGAGACACGGCCCAGACUCCUACGGGAGGCAGCAGUGGGGAAUUUUGGACAAUGGGGGAAACCCCGAUCCAGCCAUGCCGCGUGAGUGAAGAAGGCCUUCGGGUUGUAAAGCUCUUUCAGCCGGAACGAAACGGUCACGGCUAAUACCUGUGACUACUGACGGUACCGGAAGAAGAAGCACCGGCUAACUACGUGCCAGCAGCCGCGGUAAUACGUAGGGUGCGAGCGUUAAUCGGAAUUACUGGGCGUAGAGCGUGCGCAGGCGGUUUUGUAAGUCAGAUGUGAAAUCCCCGGGCUUAACCUGGGAACUGCGUUUGAAACUACAAGGCUAAGGG
This 468-nucleotide ribosomal RNA is filed under the name uncultured beta proteobacterium. RNAcentral's name for it is "bacterial SSU rRNA". It matches the Rfam family "Bacterial small subunit ribosomal RNA", at positions 198 to 647 of the family's 1533-position model. The record is from RNAcentral. Lineage: Bacteria; Pseudomonadati; Pseudomonadota; Betaproteobacteria.